RNAcentral lists this unclassified non-coding RNA (453 nucleotides) under Hevea brasiliensis (rubber tree). Lineage: Eukaryota; Viridiplantae; Streptophyta; Magnoliopsida; Malpighiales; Euphorbiaceae. The record is from RNAcentral.
AGCUUCCAGAGAACUCCCAGCGUAAGAUUUAGUUUUAAACUUCUGUUAUUUACCUCUUGUUUGGAACAAAUGGAUUUUCCACUUUAUAUUGUCAUGAAAUUCAUUUGCCAUUCCAUUAUUGUUAUGUUAGACAUCGUAUGAUUUCAUUUGAUGGAAUUUAACAUAAUUAGCAAAAAUUAGUCUAAAUUAUAUUAAAUAGGUGGAAUUUUCAAACGAUUCCAAUAUAUUGUAGACUUAUAUGGCUCACCGAAAAAAAGAUCUCACUAGUUCUCCCCCUCUCUCAUGUUACUAGCUUGAUUGAAGCAUGUGCCUACUUUUUGAUCCUUUUUUGAUUCUUUCCUCGUAGUAGUUGCUCAGUCGUGGAACAUGAGCAAUUAAACAAAAACAUUAUCUUAUAUUUUAAGAAGUGCAAAUGGUAAAAGAGUUGGUUGUUAUACUGCAUAUGAACACGAG